UCCCCAGUGGCUCAGUGGUAAAGAAUCUGCCUGCCAGUGCAGGAGACCCAGGUUCAAUUCCUGGAUUGGGAA
Molecule: transfer RNA, 72 nt
Filed under: Bos taurus (domestic cattle)
Lineage: Eukaryota; Metazoa; Chordata; Mammalia; Artiodactyla; Bovidae
Also listed under: 4 other names
Rfam family: tRNA
About the family: Transfer RNA (tRNA) molecules are approximately 80 nucleotides in length. Their secondary structure includes four short double-helical elements and three loops (D, anti-codon, and T loops).
Source: Rfam by way of RNAcentral